Molecule: ribosomal RNA, 524 nt
Filed under: uncultured bacterium
Lineage: Bacteria
Description: bacterial SSU rRNA
Rfam family: Bacterial small subunit ribosomal RNA
Source: RNAcentral
CAUCCAGAGAAUUUAGCAGAGAUGCUUUAGUGCCUUCGGGAACUCUGAGACAGGUGCUGCAUGGCUGUCGUCAGCUCGUGUUGUGAAAUGUUGGGUUAAGUCCCGCAACGAGCGCAACCCUUAUCCUUUGUGCCAGCACGUAAUGGUGGGAACUCAAAGGAGACUGCCGGUGAUAAACCGGAGGAAGGUGGGGAUGACGUCAAGUCAUCAUGGCCCUUACGAGUAGGGCUACACACGUGCUACAAUGGCGCAUACAAAGAGAAGCGACCUCGCGAGAGCAAGCGGACCUCAUAAAGUGCGUCGUAGUCCGGAUUGGAGUCUGCAACUCGACUCCAUGAAGUCGGAAUCGCUAGUAAUCGUAAAUCAGAAUGUUACGGUGAAUACGUUCCCGGGCCUUGUACACACCGCCCGUCACACCAUGGGAGUGGGUUGCAAAAGAAGUAGAUAGCUUAACCUUCGGGAGGGCGUUUACCACUUUGUGAUUCAUGACUGGGGUGAAGUCGUAACAAGGUAAGCGUAGUGCU